GCGGAGGAAAAGAAACUAACAAGGAUUCCCCUAGUAACGGCGAGUGAAGCGGGAAGAGCUCAAAUUUGUAAUCUGGCACUUUCAGUGUCCGAGUUGUAAUCUCGAGAAGUGUUUUCCGCGCCGGACCGCAUACAAGUCUGUUGGAAUACAGCGUCAUAGUGGUGAGAACCCAGUAACUGAUGCGGAUGCCCGGUGCUUUGUGAUACACUUUCGAAGAGUCGAGUUGUUUGGGAAUGCAGCUCAAAUUGGGUGGUAAAUUCCAUCUAAAGCUAAAUAUUGGCGAGAGACCGAUAGCGAACAAGUACCGUGAGGGAAAGAUGAAAAGCACUUUGGAAAGAGAGUUAACAGUACGUGAAAUUGUUGGAAGGGAAACACUUGACGUCAGACUUGCGUUUCGGAGUUCAGCCGCAAGGUGUAUUCUUCGAUUUGCAGGCCAGCAUCAGUUUUUGGGGAUGGAAAAUCGUGGUUUGAAGGUAGCAGUUUCGGCUGUGUUAUAGCUUUCCACUGGAUUCAUCUUCGGGGACUGAGGAACGCAGUACGCUUUUUGCAAGGCUCUCGAGCUUUUCGUACUUAGGAUGCUGGUGGAAUGGCGUUAAAUGACCCGUCUUGA
Molecule: ribosomal RNA, 610 nt
Filed under: Leucosporidium sp.
Lineage: Eukaryota; Fungi; Basidiomycota; Microbotryomycetes; Leucosporidiales; Leucosporidiaceae
Description: partial large subunit ribosomal RNA
Rfam family: Eukaryotic large subunit ribosomal RNA
Source: RNAcentral